This is a long non-coding RNA of Paramacrobiotus metropolitanus, 2016 nucleotides long. RefSeq lists it as uncharacterized. Lineage: Eukaryota; Metazoa; Tardigrada; Eutardigrada; Parachela; Macrobiotidae. The record is from RefSeq and is a predicted model, not a curated record. The transcript has 4 exons.
CCGUUAGUAGCAGCCGCUUCGACUUUCCAGUGCCGCCAGAGAUGUAAUGUUAGUACUAAUCAUCAUUUCUUGGAAAUCCAAAGCGCGUACUCGGGUCCAUGCAGUGCUUGCUAUUGUGGUGAACACCUUGACGGAACUCUAUGGUGCACACUGUGGUUGGACUUUUCUUUUCCUUUGGUCGCCAUACAUCUUCAAAAUUUCAGCCCUGCCAAGCGGAAUGGGCCGUAACAAUAGCUGGACGUUCUGGGCGACGACGGGAUGAUGCGGUACGGGCGGGUAGUGGACGUGUCCGGCGACGGUCUCUUCAUCGAUCUGCUCUGUCCCAACCGGCGACGUGAAUACGUUCCGUACCACAGUGUCUUCCGGCUGAAUAAGAUCAGCAAGUGCGACCUGCCUCGAGAUCGCAACAGUUCCCGUUCGGUUCUUUCCGUGGAAGUCCUGCCACCUGAGACGCCGUUGGGUCGUGGAUUUGGUUGCCGGGUGAAUCAGACAGUUUCUUAUGUGAAAAUUCGCCCCACCAGCACAUUGGGGCGGUAGCGCACUGGCGACGAAAGGACAACGGAGAGCCGUGCACAGAGUUCCUUCCCAUCGAACGCAUCCGCUGGCCAGUUCGUCCAGGAACCUUCGUAAAGCGAACUGAACAGCUGGACGAUAAAUUUAGCUCGAUGUCCGCAAAAGAAGCCGAGGCGCUCAUAAAGAGAAUAAAUCGCCGGAUACUCUCUUUCUUGUGUUCUGGCAACAGCGACAACCCAUUCUAUCAUGUUGACGUAGUGAACCUCGUAGAUGGGCAGUUGGGGUACAUGUCUCAAGUGGGAGCGGCAGAGAGUUAUCGAGUAAGAAUCUUCUCGUCGUUCAGUUUCUGAAUCUGCUCGCCAUUCGGUACCGGCAGCGCUGCUUCCAUUGCGUCCCAAAAUGCACAGGAAAAUUAACACUUUGGCAUCCGCGUUUAACGGACUUCGACACAGACGUAAGCGUGGUUCAAAGGAAAACGGCAGUUGCUCAUGACGAUGGUAUCACACGGAAGACCGCCACACUGCCAUAAUUAUAAAAUUCUGCAACGGUAGCGUAUAGGACUGUUCUUCGGAGGGCCUUCGACAAUUUCAUCUGCGGUCGGGUAAGCUCAGUAACGACAGCAUCAUUAACGCGGUUAUCAAACUCUAGGCAAAUUUUCCACUGCCGGAAGAGCAGACUCUUUAGUCGAAUCCCGUUUGCUGGUCCGCCACGAAGCGGACCAUGUCGCACACUGCCAUUAUGUCGUGCCCCUCCAUCCACCCGUUUCCCACGUCCAUCACAGUGUGUUGUGUGCCAGGGCGCAAGCAAUUUGUACACCGCCGCCCAGCAUAAGAAUGCCCGGUAUCCAUGCUUUAUGUCGUCCCACAACGCGUCUCCGACGAGGAUACAGCCACGCAGAGCCGGUGUAUCCAUCAUCGCGUUCCACACUGCGCAUACCGCGAGCAGUUUCGUCUGCGUCACCGUGUCCAAGUGCACGAACACUUCUAGCCACAAUUCCACCGGCAGUGCCAUCUCUUCACCGAUAUACUGAAUGCGACGCAGUCGAUUGAUCCGCGUCCGUCGGCGCAUUAUCGCGGGAAGGAGUGGUGCAUGGACGGUCUUCAGGAUUUGCAGCUGGAGAAACUGUCGCGCAUUUCCAUUUGUUUUCUCGUUGCACUGCAAAGUCCGAAGGAAUUUUGUUUUGUUCAACCAUCUGACCACUGAUACACCGGAGACUUGGCAUGGAACGCUUAUCCUUGCUGCGUGUCAUGGCGCUUAAUCCGGACAAUUAUCAUGGCCAUCAUUAGCAUUGGCGUCACAACUUGUGUGCAUGACUUAAACCGCAUUAUCAACGCUAACCAACCGCUGGAUCUGUACCUGGCCCGCUUGUUUUGUUUAUUGACACUUGUGUCACAAGUUGUAAGACCAUAUUACAAUUCUACAUGUCCACAGUAUUUCAACAUUUUCAGAAAUGUGGAACUGAAGCACAGUAUAUAUAUGGUAUAACAGUAUCAUGACACUAGG